AUCAACUUUCGAUUGGUAGGAUAGAGGCCUACCAUGGUGGUAACGGGUAACGGGGAAUUAGGGUUCGAUUCCGGAGAGGGAGCCUGAGAAACGGCUACCACAUCCAAGGAAGGCAGCAGGCGCGCAAAUUACCCAAUCCCGACACGGGGAGGUAGUGACAAUAAAUAACAAUACGGGGCUCUUUCGGGUCUCGUAAUUGGAAUGAGUACAAUUUAAAUCCCUUAACGAGGAACAAUUGGAGGGCAAGUCUGGUGCCAGCAGCCGCGGUAAUUCCAGCUCCAAUAGCGUAUAUUAAAGUUGUUGCAGUUAAAAAGCUCGUAGUUGAAUUUCGGGAUUGACACAUCGGUCGUGCCCUAAGGGGUAUGAACUGGUGUCGUCAGUUUCUCACCUUCUGGAGAACCGCGAUGUCCUUAAUUGGGUGCCGCGAGGAACCAGGACCUUUACUUUGAAAAAAUUAGAGUGUUUAAAGCAGGCAUUUUGCUUGAAUACAUUAGCAUGGAAUAAUAAAAUAGGACGGAUGGUUCUAUUUUGUUGGUUUCUAGGAUCACCGUAAUGAUUAAUAGGGAUAGUUGGGGGCAUUAGUAUUCAAUUGUCAGAGGUGAAAUUCUCGGAUUUAUUGAAGACUAACUACUGCGAAAGCAUUUGCCAAGGAUGUUUUCAUUAAUCAAGAACGAAAGUUAGGGGAUCGAAGACGAUCAGAUACCGUCGUAGUCUUAACCAUAAACUAUGCCGACUAGGAAUCAGACGAUGUUAAUUUUUUAAUGACUCGUUUGGCACCUUACGGGAAACCAAAGUGUUUGGGUUC
This 805-nucleotide ribosomal RNA is filed under the name uncultured Glomus. Its description in RNAcentral is "SSU rRNA". It matches the Rfam family "Eukaryotic small subunit ribosomal RNA", at positions 314 to 1114 of the family's 1831-position model. The record is from RNAcentral. Lineage: Eukaryota; Fungi; Glomeromycota; Glomeromycetes; Glomerales; Glomeraceae.